Aquila chrysaetos chrysaetos is the source of this 1151-nucleotide long non-coding RNA. RefSeq lists it as uncharacterized. NCBI's taxonomy places the organism in Eukaryota, Metazoa, Chordata, Aves, Accipitriformes, Accipitridae. The transcript has 3 exons. The record is from RefSeq and is a predicted model, not a curated record.
UGCCAUGGGAGACACAGCUCCCGGUCAGCGCAGUAGCACUGAACCGUGGUCAUGGUGGUGUGUAAACACGAGGGGUGAUGUUACCUGGCAGUCAGCCUGGCGCCGAAUGAUAGAGCAGAGGUGUGACACUUCUCCGCUUAGCAGUACAAAAAGAACAAACCUCACCUAUCUUAGAGUGAGAGAGCCAUUGUCCCCUCUAUUUAAUUUUCAUGCACUAAAUAUUGAAUUCUGGCAGAAACGAUGCUGCACCUGCUUUCCUCCUCCUCUGCGUCCAAGCACAGAUGCUGACACCCAGUGGCCAUGGAGUUUCCAGCGCCUGUACGGGAUGGAAAACUUCACCAGAGAUGCCUCAGCCGCCAUUGGCAGGUUAUAGUGGUUGAAACACUUCAAAAUCUUGCAUUCAGAGGCCAGUCAGAAAAAUGAAAAAAUAUGAGGAUGGAAAAUGAGGAAACAGAAGACUUACUCGCCCUUACUUUACACGAGGGAAAAAUAAGUUGGCAAGAGUUACAACAAAUGAUGAGAAAGAGAAGGUGUCGCAUUAGCCCAAGCAGGAGAGAAGUAAUGUGCCGUAAAAAUGCAUACAUGUGCUGCAGCAGGAACUGCAACGGCACAGCCCACAGUCAAGCUUUUUGUCAGCAGUCCUGGAGUGUAAGAAAGAGCCAUGUUGAGCCAUGUGUUUCUAACAGACAUUGAUGACUCUUGCUUCCACUGAUGUCCCAUGGAUUUUUUUCAGACUGACUCUUCUUUGCGACCUUAUCUGGGGUCAAGGUUUUGGCAAGGUACCAGAGGUGUACUUUUCUACUUUUUUAGAUCUGCCUUGUAUAAGAUACUUUUAUUACAUGUGAUUUAUGGAACUGUUUUUUAAAGCUGCAUUUUUUUUUCCUCUGUGCUUUUUAAAUCCUAGUUAAAAUCAUCAUAGAAGAAUCUGCACAGCUGCACACUGCUGUGUGGCUUGGAGUGUGAUGUGCGUCAUGACCGAUGUCAGGUCAAAGAGCCUCGUUCCAUGCUCUUGCAAUUACAAAUCAUAGCUGAAACAGCAUGGGAGGUACCCUGCUCUUCCACCUCUGCAGGCUCCCAUGGGAUGGCUGGGCCAAAACCUGUUUGUGUGUGGCUGAGCACAGCCUGGCAGCCUCUCUGUGUUGGGGGGGGGG